RNAcentral lists this long non-coding RNA (1202 nucleotides) under Macaca fascicularis (crab-eating macaque). Its description in RNAcentral is "HLA complex group 20". The record is from RNAcentral. Lineage: Eukaryota; Metazoa; Chordata; Mammalia; Primates; Cercopithecidae.
AGCACCCAUGACAGUGAAUCCAUUUUGGUUGUGUUGGAUUUGAGGUGGCAAAGAAAUAAGGAACUUGCAUGUGACUGCGGGAAAUUAGAGCUACAAGACAGCAGUUCAGGCGAAAUGAUAGGACUAGAGUUAGAUGCUGAAACUCGCAGUCCCACAAGGACUUGAAUCUAGAGCUUUUUUAAAGUCCUUACUCUUUCCAGUACCCUGAGCCAGGGGAACCAGCGGGCAGAAAUGACGUGUGAGGUACCCUGUCUCCCUUCACUUCCAUGUGAUCUGUUACUCAUUUUGUCGAGACAUCCUGGGUCCCAGAGACCACUCUUACUCCCAGGUGUGUGACCUCCUCCUACAGAGUACAGUGGGAAAGCCGCUGUCUCCAGGUGCCAGGUGCUUCACAAGACACUGGCUAUAGCAGCAAACAGGACAGCCUGUCUCAUCCCCAUGGAGGUCACAGGACAAUGAGAAGACUUUUUUUUUUUUUUUUUGAGAUGGAGUUUUGCUCUUGUUGCCCAGGCUGGAGUGCAGUGGCAUGAUCUUGACUCACUGCAACCUCUAUCUCCCAAGUUCAAGCAAUUAUCUUGCCUCAGGCCUCUUGAGUAGCUGGAAUUACAGGAGCCUGCCACCAAUCCUGGCUAAUUUUUUGUAUUUUUAGUAGAGACGGGGGUUUCACCAUGUUGGCCAGGCUGGUCUCGAACUCGUGACCUCAGGUGAUCCACCCACCUCGGCCUCCCAAAGUGCAGGGAUUAUAGGCAUGAGCCAUCGAGCCUAGCCCAAGAAGAAAGACAUUGAACAAGUAAUUACAGGGUGUUGGGUGUUAUGAAAGAAAAGCAUGGUGGUGUAUAAUGAGGUCCGUUAAUUUAGUCUGGGGUGACAAGGAAUGCCUACUAAAGAAGGUAUCGUUUAAGACAUACCUGGGGAUUAGCAGGAGAGAAAAUAAAAGCUCCAGAAAAUCAGGGACCAUGGCUGACAUGUUUACCAUGCCAGUGUCUGGCAUGGAAGAGGCACCAAUUCCUUUGGUUGAAAGGAUGAAGUAAUCUAGCUGAAUAAAGGCUGUAUGUGUGUGUGUGCACACAUGUGUGUUUGUAGUUAACCUUCCUUUAGCUCAGCUUAGGGAACAGCUUUUGUAAAACUGCCUAACUGGUAGUAGGUGAGAAAGGAAUAUGAAUGAGAUACACACCAUUAGAGACAACUUACUAACAGAACGA